AAGGCGUCCCAAUCGGAAGCCUGAUGGCGGGAGUACUAACUGAAAUAUUACUAAGGCAAGUUGAAAAAAGCAUCCUUGAAAGGUUUAGAAGAACCAUGAGCCUUUAUAUCAGGUAUGUCGACAAUAUCCUGGUGAUAUGGGAAGAAGAAGGAAGAACAAAAGAACUAGAAGCCCUAACGAUACCAGCAUAUAGAUUAACACUAACUACAAUGCAUCUCAGAAAUCCAAAAUAGGAUAUCUAGACAUCGAAAUAACCAUCAACAUCAUCAUCUUAACAACAGCGGUCCACAGAAAACCACU
RNAcentral lists this long non-coding RNA (300 nucleotides) under Androctonus crassicauda. Lineage: Eukaryota; Metazoa; Arthropoda; Arachnida; Scorpiones; Buthidae. The record is from RNAcentral.